This 724-nucleotide long non-coding RNA is filed under the name Daucus carota (carrot). RNAcentral describes it as "long non-coding RNA (DCAR_LNC004137)". The record is from RNAcentral. Lineage: Eukaryota; Viridiplantae; Streptophyta; Magnoliopsida; Apiales; Apiaceae.
GGCCUGUCAUAUGGGGUUUUUGGCAUCUGCCUAAAACACUUGAUAAACAAAUAUGAAAGUAGUACAAGAUUAUUUUUAAAAAUUAAGCAUUAUGAAUUACUGAUAGUUACAAGCAUGUACAACGAUGUAGGAAUACAACGACAAGCAUGAGCAGGGAACAAUGAUUUAGUUUCCCCGGAGAAAAGAUCUUGUACGUUUUAAUUGUGGGUCAGUGGGUGUCAUCGCCUUCAACUUCUUCAGGAAGCACGUCUGGAAAGAGAUCACUGCUUACUAUAUUCUUUCCUUCUUUACCAUUUGUGCAGCUGAUAUAAUUAAUAAACGUAAGCACAUCAAGAGAGGAAAUACCACACGUCCUCCUCCCUUACAAUAUAUGGCUUACUCCUAAUAAUGGAAGCCGCACAGGUCUUGAAGUAAUUCAUCUCAGGUCAUGACACCGGUUGACGCAUCUUUUCUCUGAGUGCCGGUAAAGGAGGUUUUAAGCAUCAUAAAUCAGUGCAACUUGUUAACAAACCUCUCUUUUCGUGUAUAUAAAUACCCUCAAAAAUCGUAGAAGUGUGACCUGUGUUGCAGAGAUAGUCAACAAUGGUGAUAUACUUGUAUGAUUUGAUAAAAUAUAAGUGAGAGGCAUUUGAUCGAGCACAAACUUAGCAUAUUGAUUAGAAUGGUUUAGUGUUAUGGUGAGGGUUUGGGGAGGAGAAAACAUGUGAGUUAAGUGAUGUUGAAG